AGCGAACGCUAGCGGCGGGCCUAACACAUGCAAGUCGAGCGCAUACCUUCGGGUAUGAGCGGCGGACGGGUGAGUAACGCGUAGGUCAUCUACCCUUUGGUGGGGGAUAACCCAGGGAAACUUGGGCUAAUACCGCACGAGGUCUACGGAUCAAAGCCUUCGGGCGCCAGAGGAUGAGCCUGCGUCGCAUUACCUAGUUGGCGGGGUAACGGCCCACCAAGGGGACGAUGCGUAGCUGGUCUGAGAGGAUGAUCAGCCACACUGGGACUGAGACACGGCCCAGACUCCUACGGGAGGCAGCAGUGGGGAAUAUUGCGCAAUGGGGGGAAACCCUGACGCAGCCACGCCGCGUGGGUGAUGAAGGGCCUUCGGGUUGUAAAGCCCUGUCGGGAGGGACGGAAUUCUUGACGGUACCUCCAAAGAAAGACACCGGCUAACUCCGUGCCAGCAGCCGCGGUAAU
RNAcentral lists this ribosomal RNA (461 nucleotides) under uncultured bacterium. Its description in RNAcentral is "bacterial SSU rRNA". It matches the Rfam family "Bacterial small subunit ribosomal RNA", at positions 29 to 524 of the family's 1533-position model. The record is from RNAcentral.